This 1291-nucleotide ribosomal RNA is filed under the name Salmonella enterica subsp. enterica serovar Infantis. Its description in RNAcentral is "partial 23S ribosomal RNA". It matches the Rfam family "Bacterial large subunit ribosomal RNA", at positions 1 to 1240 of the family's 2925-position model. Lineage: Bacteria; Pseudomonadati; Pseudomonadota; Gammaproteobacteria; Enterobacterales; Enterobacteriaceae. The record is from RNAcentral.
GGGUUGUGAGGUUAAGCGACUAAGCGUACACGGUGGAUGCCCUGGCAGUCAGAGGCGAUGAAGGGCGUGCUAAUCUGCGAUAAGCGCCGGUAAGGUGAUAUGAACCGUUAUAACCGGCGAUACCCGAAUGGGGAAACCCAGUGUGAUUCGUCACACUAUCAUUAACUGAAUCCAUAGGUUAAUGAGGCGAACCGGGGGAACUGAAACAUCUAAGUACCCCGAGGAAAAGAAAUCAACCGAGAUUCCCCCAGUAGCGGCGAGCGAACGGGGAGGAGCCCAGAGCCUGAAUCAGCAUGUGUGUUAGUGGAAGCGUCUGGAAAGGCGCGCGAUACAGGGUGACAGCCCCGUACACAAAAGCGCAUGUGCUGUGAGCUCGAUGAGUAGGGCGGGACACGUGGUAUCCUGUCUGAAUAUGGGGGGACCAUCCUCCAAGGCUAAAUACUCCUGACUGACCGAUAGUGAACCAGUACCGUGAGGGAAAGGCGAAAAGAACCCCGGCGAGGGGAGUGAAAAAGAACCUGAAACCGUGUACGUACAAGCAGUGGGAGCACAGGUUUACCUGUGUGACUGCGUACCUUUUGUAUAAUGGGUCAGCGACUUAUAUUCUGUAGCAAGGUUAACCGAAUAGGGGAGCCGGAGGGAAACCGAGUCUUAAUUGGGCGUUAAGUUGCAGGGUAUAGACCCGAAACCCGGUGAUCUAGCCAUGGGCAGGUUGAAGGUUGGGUAACACUAACUGGAGGACCGAACCGACUAAUGUUGAAAAAUUAGCGGAUGACCUGUGGCUGGGGGUGAAAGGCCAAUCAAACCGGGAGAUAGCUGGUUCUCCCCGAAAGCUAUUUAGGUAGCGCCUCGUGAAUUCAUCUCCGGGGGUAGAGCACUGUUUCGGCUAGGGGGCCAUCCCGGCUUACCAACCCGAUGCAAACUGCGAAUACCGGAGAAUGUUAUCACGGGAGACACACGGCGGGUGCUAACGUCCGUCGUGAAGAGGGAAACAACCCAGACCGCCAGCUAAGGUCCCAAAGUCAUGGUUAAGUGGGAAACGAUGUGGGAAGGCCCAGACAGCCAGGAUGUUGGCUUAGAAGCAGCCAUCAUUUAAAGAAAGCGUAAUAGCUCACUGGUCGAGUCGGCCUGCGCGGAAGAUGUAACGGGGCUAAACCAUGCACCGAAGCUGCGGCAGCGAACGUAUCACUUAAAGCGAUUCAGCGGGUUACGAUUGACGGAGCGAAGCGACGUCAAAGCGUAUACAAAGUCGAGUCGGUUUAAGGAUACGUUCGUUGGGUAGGGGAGCGUU